Molecule: transfer RNA, 69 nt
Filed under: Suricata suricatta (meerkat)
Lineage: Eukaryota; Metazoa; Chordata; Mammalia; Carnivora; Herpestidae
Description: tRNA-Ala
Rfam family: tRNA
About the family: Transfer RNA (tRNA) molecules are approximately 80 nucleotides in length. Their secondary structure includes four short double-helical elements and three loops (D, anti-codon, and T loops).
Source: RNAcentral
AAGGGCUUAGCUUAAUUAAAGCGUUUGAUUUGCAUUCAAUUGAUGUGAGGUAGGCUCUUGCAGUCCUUG